GAAAUAAUAAUAAUCAUCAUUUACUCUUUUGUCAGAGGGAGGAAAUCCUGCUGGCUCAUGUCUCAGCUCAGUUUCAAGUGUACGUGCUGAAGAGGCAGUUGCAAACCACAGAAAUUCAAUUGAAGAUGGUGAAGUUAUGGAAAGUUAUUUGGGAGGAGUACAAUACAGCACACGUACUAGAUGUAUGAUUUUCGAAUGUGAUUCUGAACAAUGAUGUUCUUUCAAUUCAGUGAUCAGUUAAUUCAAUAGCAAAAAAUGCCAAAUACAUGUUUCAUUUGCCCUCAGAAGUGUUGAAUGAAAAAUGUUACAGUGCUGUAAUACAGGCUACAGUCAGCACUUUAGGAAAUACACUUCAAAUUGACAUGACAUAUGACAUAGACUACAGUUCAAAUAUUUCAAAUAACUAAAAACAGGAAAUUUUAGGUAACACUAUUUUAAGGUGACAUAGUUACAUGUUACUACAUGUACUUACUAUAGUAAUUACAGUAAAUUAUGCAUAAUUACAAGUAACUAACCCUAAACCAAACCCUAACCAUAACUCUAUAAUAAGUACAUCCAGUUAAUAUUACUUAGUACUUAUUUGAGUAAGUACAAUGUAACUACGUCACCUUAAAAUAAAGUCUAACCAAAUUUGAUUGUAAAAUAUUAUUACAUUUUAAAAUAACUGUUUUCUAUUUUAAUAUAUGUCAUUUAACGAAGCUGAAUUUUCAGGAGUCAUUAUUUCAGUCUUCAGUGUCACAUGAUUCUUCAGAAAGCAUUCUAAUAUACUGAUAUGGUGCUCAAGAAACAUUUAUUAUUAACAUUAUUAUUAUUAACCGUUGAAAAUGGAUGUGCUGCUUAAUAUUUUUGGUGAAACCAUGAUAUAUUUUUCUGAAUAAAUAACUGUGAUAUCUUUCAUGAAUAUAAAGUACAACAGAACAGCAUUUUAGAUAGACAGUUACAGUAUAUGACAGGCAGGCAGGCAGGCAGACAGACAGACAGACAGACAGACAGACAGACAGACAGACAGACAGACAGACAGACAGACAGACAGACAGACAGAUAGAUAGAUAGAUAGAUAGAUAGAUAGAUAGAUAGAUAGACAGACAGACAGCCUGCAUGCAGAUCUUUCAGGCAGAAACGUGCCACCUAAGCACAGUCUUAAUACUAUCAAGACCUAAGUCAACAAAGUAGAUAAGUCUCUUCCGUUCACAUACAAAGAACAAUAUCGUCUGACUAAUGCAUUUGACAGAGCUAAAUAUACCACAGAGAUUAAACCGCAAGAUUCAGGACACCUGCUUAAAAUAGCUGAUUGUAGCAGAUGCAUGUGACACUGUCACAACCUUCUAUUUAUGUAAGUUUAAAGGAUUUAACCUAAUUUAAUGAUCACCUUUCUUAGCUCCACUGUAUAUCUUUGCAUUUAGCUGAAGGGUGAAUAUGAGGUGAGAAAACAUAAAUUUAACAUUACAAUUCAUCUGAUAUUAUUACCACAGCUGCAUUUCAUCUUAAAAAAAACCCACAGUGACACUUUAAUUAAGCAAACCACAACAAACCACCAUGUUAAAACAAAUUCCUUUAUGGUGAUAUUUACAUAAUUAUAUAGCUGGAAGAACUUGUGCCUACAUCUCAUUUCAGUUCUAGGCUAUUUACUUUCUGAAUUCACAGAAAACAGUAUUUAAUUCUCAGUUGUUCAGUCCAUCCUCAACAGGAGAUUCUUGUGAUUCUUUGACUCCUUAAUUACAUAAUCAUUCAACACAGUCACAAAGCAAGACUAAGGUCAGAGCUGCAGCCCACCAGACUUUAUCCCACUGGAUCUCUGCUCUUCAACAAAAACCUGUGACCAAAAUAAAAAUCUGUAAUGGUGUUGGCAGCUGUUGUAAUUGUGAGUGAGCGUAGUCAAGUGUCAUGUAGGUGGAGGGCCGAGUGCUCCCAGGGUCUCAUUGUUACUGCAAUGUAAACAUUCAGGGCAGCUGCGGUGGGGUCCCAUUGGUCAGCUUCCUCUCUACUCUCUGCUCAGCACACACACACUUCCUGUCAGGCAUGCAAGGUCAGAGCUUAGCUAAAUUUAGUGCCUUGGCUUACGGUCCUUAACUGCCGUGACUGUAUAAAAGGGGUUGAGCUGCCGCUAAACCUGAACAAACCAAACACAGACACAACCUCUGCACAACAAUCACCACUCUGAUCCUAGAAGCUUGUCCUACAGGAUGAAACCCAGAAGAUUACUCCUGUCUGUGGCUCCUCUACCGACAAUAACAGAGUCGCAUGAAGACCUCUCACAGUCCCUGGAUGAAUAUGUAAACUCCAUUAAAGAACUGGCCCAGCCUGCUUGCGGCCCUUUGAGAAUAUCCAGGACUCACAGGCGUAAACCCGUGGGGAAGCAUGCGGGUUCUACCUCAACGCCGCGCAGCGCUUCCCGGGCUCUGCAGCCCCGCCGUGCUUCCCUCGGCCUGGACGAGGUCACGCUGAGGUUCAGCAGCCAGGUGGACUGCGGCGCUAAAGAUCCACUGGACUGGUUGUUUGCACAGACACACUUACAGUCACACGGUGAGAAUUUGCGCAGGACUGACAGCGCACCUGCUGCUUUGUGGUUACUCUAAUGCGCCAAAUGCGUAAUGACAUGCUGAUGGGAGGAUAACUCUGAACGUUUGAUGGAUGAACGCAAUGGAGGAUCUCAUGAACUGAACUUCUUAAUUUAUUGCUGAACAGACUUUUUGUACAAAGAUGCUAAUGUUUACACCCUGUCAAAGUCAUGGUUUUCUACAUUCUAUGCUUUUUAAAAUAAAGUUAAAAAGUGAAUUGA
This is a long non-coding RNA of Ctenopharyngodon idella (grass carp), 2779 nucleotides long. RefSeq lists it as uncharacterized. Lineage: Eukaryota; Metazoa; Chordata; Actinopteri; Cypriniformes; Xenocyprididae. The record is from RefSeq and is a predicted model, not a curated record. The transcript has 2 exons.